UUAUUUGCAUUACUCUACACGCUUUGAUUAACUGAUAGUUUUCACACAUUAUUAUUGUCUUUUCAUUUACUAUUUCCCAAACAAACCUGUACCAACUGUUAUCUGUAACCGGAAUGUCCCAGUACUAAAUUGUACACCUGUCCAAUCUAUAAGUCUGAUGACCGGUAACGACUGAUCAAAGUUAGAUCAAAGUUAGUGAAAAAACUGCUUCCAAAACUGAUGAUAUUGUUUUGAAUUUCAACAUCUAAAGGACUUUAACGAAACAUGAAAUCAUUCACAGUUCUUAUUGUUCUUAUGUUUGGUGUCGGAGCUGUACUUGGUGAGAUGUGUACCUGGCUGGUAUCCAACGUUAAGCUACUCUACAAGCCAGUACUGUGUUUGGGGCUGUUGCUAUACGUACAGCUAUCCCUGUUGUGAAGCAUCCAUCUACAGCGGCACUCCAUUCAUAGUUGGCAUGAGUGUAUCUGGAGGUAUCGUAGUCCUGGCGGUCAUCGUGGCAGUCUGUGUGAGACAACGUAGACGUGUGGUGACAAGCGUCCAGUACUCUAGCCCAGGGACGCAGAAUGUUUUUUCAACAUCAACCAGCACAAGUGUUACGUCAGGAUACAGCAACCCGGGCUUUGUCCGGACAUACUAGAGAUGCAAUAGUUGGAGAGAUCUUGGGAUAAAAGUGGAUUAGCGCGGACAAGGUUUUGUUGUACUUCAGAAAAGUGGACGUUGACAUUGUAGGAGUUUGAUGGCUAUCUCUCAGUAGGAGCCAAGUUUUAAAUUUUACAAAUAAUGUUUGUUGUUGUUACGUUUACAUUUUGAAAUAGAAGAGUGAAGAGGUAGCGAAUAAAUGAAGAGGGAAGAGGUAGCGAAUAAAUGAAGAGGUAGCGAAUAAAUGAAGAGGGAAGAGGUAGCGAAUAAAUGAAGAGGGAAGAGGUAGCGAAUAAAUGAAGAGGACAAUGUCAAAUCACUUUGGAUCACUCUUUAAUAGUUUCGGAAUUUUUAAGUUUUACUAUUUCAAAUAUAAUUACUUUCUUUGAAAUGAAGUAAUUAUAGUUCUUGUAACCUGAAAACAUUGUAUUGCAAUAUUGGAAAGGUUUGAUUUUUUAAAGUUUUCAAACAUUGUAUUGUAAUAUUGUAAAGGUUUGAUUUUAAAAAGUAUUAAAACAUUGUAUUGUAAUAUUGGAAAGGUUUGAUUUUAAAAAGUAUUAAAACAUUGUAUUGCAAUA
This is a long non-coding RNA of Biomphalaria glabrata, 1217 nucleotides long. RefSeq lists it as uncharacterized. The record is from RefSeq and is a predicted model, not a curated record. NCBI's taxonomy places the organism in Eukaryota, Metazoa, Mollusca, Gastropoda, Planorbidae. The transcript is spliced from 4 exons.